RNAcentral lists this ribosomal RNA (731 nucleotides) under uncultured gamma proteobacterium TIHP368-77. RNAcentral's name for it is "bacterial SSU rRNA". It matches the Rfam family "Bacterial small subunit ribosomal RNA", at positions 50 to 769 of the family's 1533-position model. The record is from RNAcentral. Lineage: Bacteria; Pseudomonadati; Pseudomonadota; Gammaproteobacteria.
AACACAUGCAAGUCGAACGGCAGCACAGAGGAGCUUGCUCCUUGGGUGGCGAGUGGCGGACGGGUGAGGAAUACAUCGGAAUCUACUCUGUCGUGGGGGAUAACGUAGGGAAACUUACGCUAAUACCGCAUACGACCUACGGGUGAAAGCAGGGGAUCUUCGGACCUUGCGCGAUUGAAUGAGCCGAUGUCGGAUUAGCUAGUUGGCGGGGUAAAGGCCCACCAAGGCGACGAUCCGUAGCUGGUCUGAGAGGAUGAUCAGCCACACUGGAACUGAGACACGGUCCAGACUCCUACGGGAGGCAGCAGUGGGGAAUAUUGGACAAUGGGCGCAAGCCUGAUCCAGCCAUACCGCGUGGGUGAAGAAGGCCUUCGGGUUGUAAAGCCCUUUUGUUGGGAAAGAAAUCCAGCUGGUUAAUACCCGGUUGGGAUGACGGUACCCAAAGAAUAAGCACCGGCUAACUUCGUGCCAGCAGACGCGGUAAUACGAAGGGUGCAAGCGUUACUCGGAAUUACUGGGCGUAAAGCGUGCGUAGGUGGUCGUUUAAGUCCGUUGUGAAAGCCCUGGGCUCAACCUGGGGAACUGCAGUGGAUACUGGACGACUAGAGUUUGGUAAAGGGUAGCGGAAUUCCUGGUGUAGCAGUGAAAUGCGUAGAGAUCACGGGGGACAUCCAUGGCGAAGGCAGCUACAUGGACCAACACUGACACUGAGGCACGAAAGCGUGGGGAGC